CCCGCUGGCCGCUGAAACUUCACAUUACGCCACCAAACUAGCCAACGGGCGGCUCUCCCCCUCCCCCUCCCCCCUCCCAUGACUGGCACUUGCAACGGAGUCGUGGCCAGACAUUUAAGAAGUGACUUGACACCUGGGCCCGGCUACCUGGAAAUCUAAAACAAAAACAGAAACACCCCUGUGUUAUUUUUCCUUCCAUCAGGAAGUCGGCAUUCCCCCUUAAAAAAAAAAAAAAAAAAAAAAAACAAAAAACAAAAAAACGUGAAAGCACGUCUCCCACGGGAUCCCAGCAGGUAAAUAGCACCAGAGCGUCCCCUAAAGCGAUUCUACAGACCCCGGGGACCCGCUGCGCGUCCCCCCGCCCCCGCUGGCUUCUCCGGCUCCGGAGGAAGGAUCGGGAAGUCGGGCGGACCCGGAGGAACACCACCUCCUACGUGCAUUUCGUCUCCCUGCCCCGGCGAGCUGGUAUGAUUUGAACCACCCCGCGUAGCCCAGGAGUGGAAAUGAAUUGUCAAGGAGGCUCAUCCGUGCCUCAGAAAACUACUGAGACGAUGGGGCUGAUCCUGCUCCCAUCAUCGGCUGAGAUCCUGGGUGAGGGAGCCCUUGUGAACUCCCCGCCCCUCAGUUUAUCUCCUGAGCCUCACCUCCCUGUGUUGCCAGUCACAGCUUUGACGUUGCCCCCAUCACAGCCAGCUUGCCACACUUGGGGUCCGUGCCCAGGACAGGGACACACUCAGGAGUUCUAGGAAAUGAGAAUCUCUGCUGUUCUAUCAUUUCCCAUUUCCUUUACUAUUAAGGAUUUAUAGAUAUAUAUGAGAGAGAGAGAGAGAGAGAGAGAGAGCCCAAGCCAGGGGAGAGGCAGAGGGAGAAGGCGAG
Long non-coding RNA from Canis lupus familiaris (dog), 876 nucleotides. RefSeq lists it as uncharacterized. The transcript is spliced from 3 exons. The record is from RefSeq and is a predicted model, not a curated record. NCBI's taxonomy places the organism in Eukaryota, Metazoa, Chordata, Mammalia, Carnivora, Canidae.